AUAAAGGAAACCCCCUGAAUAUUUUCUGUUCUACUCAAAGAUCAAUAUGAAUAACAAAAGAAGAAAAAAAAGGGUGAAAAAAAUCCUAUAAAUAAAUGAAGAACAAAUAUAUUUAUUAUAUAUAUGUUCUGUCAUUGCCUUGUAUUUUUUAACCUCGUGCCAAUCAUUUUCUGCUCAAAUUUCUUCACAGACCAAGCAAUAUCUCGCAUUGUUGUAUCCAGGUUGUUUUCAAAGUUUAUCUCUGUCACGUUGAGUAAGUUCCGGCAAGGUUCACGCCUUUGUGCUAUAGUUCCAUGGUAAUGGAAAUAUUUGAUCCUGCUCUCUGUCUUGUGUGUAGUCUUCCCGGCCAGGUUCUGUGACAUGUGCACACCAGUUGCGAAAACAUUCUUCGGUUGGAUCGCAUACUUGCGAUCCCUCCUUAUGCCUCUUUUGAUAUCCCUGUAUACCAGUUUCUCGAACCCCCAUUUCCUGUAAUAUCUACCAUAAUCAGCCGAGAGGCAGAGCUUGUUGCUCAUGGGCAUCUGCUCAAUAGUGAACUGGUUAUAAUCGGAGAGGGAAUCCAACACAGACACUUGAUGGUAUUCUUUGGAGGCACAUAAAUGUACUCAUCAACAUCAAAGAAGAACAUCCACUUGGUCACAAAUUUGUACCUAUGCAAGCAGUCAUUAACCACCAUGAACUGGUUAUGGUAAUACCCAUCAAACCUCUCUUGCUCUCUUACGUCCUGCAAUGUCACAUAUCCCAAAUCCAUCCAUGGCCUCAAAACCUCCAUCACCUCCUCAUGAACCCCACCUGCAUCGUGUAUCACAAAAUGGGAUCUCUCGCCAAAUAGCCUCACAUGGUAAGCAAUCCAUUCCCUGACUCUCUGUGGACUCAAACCACCAUAGAGAGAAGACCCGCAAUACAAAUAUUCGUAUUUGGGUUUGGAUGUGAAAACAGUCAAGUUUAAUUUCCCUGAUUGUUCUUGAAGAACCUCAAAUCUGUCGGUAAUGUUGAAGUUUUUGUCACCACCGCCUGAUGUGGAGGCGUGUAGGAACAAUUUCCCACCUGAAUUAUUAGUGUUUAUGGGUUGAGAAAACGUACAAUUCACAACAACAACAGUGUAAACGCGGCCAUAUCCCCAAUCAGGAAGUAUCUUGUAAGCAGUGGAGGUGAUGGGGACGGCGGAAGAGUUGUCGGAAGAGGAGGGUUGCGGAACCCACUCGCAUUGGUAGGUGGGUUUUGCAUAAAGAUGAAGAGGUUUUGAAGACAAAGAAAAGCCUAUAAUGGCAAAAGUAUUGAGUCCACCUCUGUAAGUACCCAUGGUGAUGAAGUUGUAAGCUGCAGCACCAUAAGGAUUAAAGAUCCUCUUAAUAAUGCCAUUGUCACGAACUUCUUCACCUUGUUGAACAGAGGAGGCUGAUGAGUUAGGAGGCGUAGUAGCAAGAGAUGAAUUUAGUUGGGUUUCUGGGUGACCAAUGGAGGAGGUGGUGGUUGUGGUGGUGGUGGUAGUAGUGGUGGUGAUUCUGGAGAUACAGAAGCGAAGAUCAG
This 1530-nucleotide unclassified non-coding RNA is filed under the name Hevea brasiliensis (rubber tree). The record is from RNAcentral. Lineage: Eukaryota; Viridiplantae; Streptophyta; Magnoliopsida; Malpighiales; Euphorbiaceae.